GACCUAGACUCUUUAACUUAUAUUUAUAAGAUCUAGAAUCUGUAUCUAGAUCUAUUCCUAUACACUGAUUAUACACUACAUAUUUAAUGUUUCUGAUGAGCAAUACUACUGUCUACAGCCAUUGCCCAUUAACAUAGGCCCUACUCACGUACUAGAUCUAGCUCUAUUGAUCACAACUCAUAUCUUACCUAGAUAUAAAUAACUGUACUAGAUUGGACUAGACAUUCUAACCGGUUCUAUUUUCUUUUUUCAUUAUUCUCACACAUUCCAGUAGGUACCAAAUUGUGCUAUUAUUCACUGUAGAUCUAGAUCUUAACUUUUCUCUUAACUACCAAAGAAGUACCUAAAGGAUGUUGAAUGGUACCCAAAGGGCUCUAAUUGCUACCAUUCAAUGUGUGGAAUCAAGUAUUUACCCAGAUACUGCCACAAUAUGUUCUUAUUGUUUUCAAAGGAGUUUGCACACAGUGCCAGAAGCUGUAUAAAUACAUUUAACAAUGUUUAUUUCAAGAAGAAAUGAUGCUUUCUUAUUCCUAAAAUUUUAUCAAUACGAUGGAUGCCACAAAACUCACUUGUUAUGCCAGAAACUCUUCCUACGAAACUUCCAGUAGUUAAAAAAAAUCAAAGUUUCCCUUUCAGACCUUGUAAUCAAUAGAGCAGAUGAUGUAAGUAUCAUCUAUUUCUGACAAUCUGUUGUCUACGUUUAACGAGGGUGUCAUGUGGCCAGCACUGAGUGGACUCAGACUCAAAUUAAAAAUUCCAGUCUUCACCAGGAUUCGAACCCCGGUACCCGGUUCGGAAGCUUAGCGCUUUACCGCUAAGCCACCAGGCCUCCUUCCAUACUAGAACUUGUCCAGUGCCUGUGAUCCUCGGAGUUGAAGGAGAGUGUGCUCCAUAAUACUUAGAAGGAGUUUGCUGAUAGCUGGAAGUUCAUGAAUACUAUGUUGUCCUUGAUUUGAUGAUUCUGAAAAUACCAUUUCUGAAGA
Molecule: long non-coding RNA, 983 nt
Organism: Biomphalaria glabrata
Lineage: Eukaryota; Metazoa; Mollusca; Gastropoda; Planorbidae
Exons: 3
Source: RefSeq, a predicted model, not a curated record